Molecule: ribosomal RNA, 414 nt
Filed under: uncultured bacterium
Lineage: Bacteria
Description: bacterial SSU rRNA
Rfam family: Bacterial small subunit ribosomal RNA
Source: RNAcentral
GAUGAACGCUGGCGGCGUGYUUAACACAUGCAAGUCGAACGGGGAACAAAUUAUUGAAGCUUCGGCAGAUCUAGCUUGUUCCUAGUGGCGGACGGGUGAGUAAYGCGUGGGUAACCUSCCUCACACUGGGGGAUAACAGUCAGAAAUGGCUGMUAAUWCCGCAUAAGCGCACAGUACCGCAUGGUACAGUGUGAAAAACUCCGGUGGUGUGAGAUGGACCCGCGUUGGAUUAGCUAGUUGGCAGGGCAGCGGCCUACCAAGGCGACGAUCCAUAGCCGGCCUGAGAGGGUGAACGGCCACAUUGGGACUGAGACACGGCCCAGACUCCUACGGGAGGCAGCAGUGGGGAAUAUUGCACAAUGGGGGAAACCCUGAUGCAGCGACGCCGCGUGAAGGAAGAAGUAUCUCGGUAKG